RNAcentral lists this unclassified non-coding RNA (336 nucleotides) under soil metagenome. RNAcentral describes it as "partial contains 5.8S ribosomal RNA, internal transcribed spacer 2, and large subunit ribosomal RNA". The stretch from base 1 to 120 matches the Rfam family "5.8S ribosomal RNA", at positions 35 to 154 of the family's 154-position model. The record is from RNAcentral.
GAUGAAGAACGUAGCGAAAUGCGAUAAGUAAUGUGAAUUGCAGAAUUCAGUGAAUCAUCGAAUCUUUGAACGCACAUUGCGCCCGCCAGUAUUCUGGCGGGCAUGCCUGUUCGAGCGUCAUUUCAACCAUCAAGCCCCCGGCUUGUGUUGGGGCCCUGCGGCUGCCGCAGGCCCUGAAAAGCAGUGGCGGGCUCGCUGUCACACCGAGCGUAGUAGCAUACAUCUCGCUCUGGGCGUGCUGCGGGUUCCGGCCGUUAAACCACCUUCAUAACCCAAGGUUGACCUCGGAUCAGGUAGGAAGACCCGCUGAACUUAAGCAUAUCAAUAAGCGGAGGA